RNAcentral lists this ribosomal RNA (186 nucleotides) under uncultured bacterium. Its description in RNAcentral is "partial 16S ribosomal RNA". It matches the Rfam family "Bacterial small subunit ribosomal RNA", at positions 1316 to 1500 of the family's 1533-position model. The record is from RNAcentral.
CUACAUGAAGCUGGAAUCGCUAGUAAUCGCGGAUCAGAAUGCCGCGGUGAAUACGUUCCCGGGUCUUGUACACACCGCCCGUCACACCAUGGGAGUCGGAAAUGCCCGAAGCCGGUGACUCAACCUUUAAGGAGAGAGCCGUCGAAGGCAGGUCUGAUAACUGGGGUGAAGUCGUAACAAGGUAUC